RNAcentral lists this unclassified non-coding RNA (378 nucleotides) under plant metagenome. Its description in RNAcentral is "partial contains 5.8S ribosomal RNA, internal transcribed spacer 2, and large subunit ribosomal RNA". The stretch from base 1 to 105 matches the Rfam family "5.8S ribosomal RNA", at positions 50 to 154 of the family's 154-position model. The record is from RNAcentral.
GAAAUGCGAUAAGUAAUGUGAAUUGCAGAAUUCAGUGAAUCAUCGAAUCUUUGAACGCACCUUGCGCUCCUUGGUAUUCCUUGGAGCAUGCCUGUUUGAGUAUCAUGAAAUCUUCAAAGUAAAUCUUUUGUUAACUCAAUUGGUUUCUACUUUGGUAUUGGAGGUCUUUGCAGCUUCACACCUGCUCCUCUUUGUUCAUUAGCUGGAUCUCAGUGUUAUGCUUGGUUCCACUCGGCGUGAUAAGUUAUCUAUCGCUGAGGACACUGUAAAAGGUGGCCAAGGUAAAUGCAGAUGAUCCGCUUCUAAUAGUCCAUUGACUUGGACAAUACUUUUAUGAUCUGAUCUCCAAUCAGGUAGGACCACCCGCUGAACUUAAGC